Molecule: ribosomal RNA, 497 nt
Filed under: uncultured bacterium
Lineage: Bacteria
Description: partial 16S ribosomal RNA
Rfam family: Bacterial small subunit ribosomal RNA
Source: RNAcentral
GAUGAACGCUGGCGGCGUGCCUAAUACAUGCAAGUCGAGCGAACAGACGAGGAGCUUGCUCCUCUGACGUUAGCGGCGGACGGGUGAGUAACACGUGGAUAACCUACCUAUAAGACUGGGAUAACUUCGGGAAACCGGAGCUAAUACCGGAUAAUAUAUUGAACCGCAUGGUUCAAUAGUGAAAGACGGUUUUGCUGUCACUUAUAGAUGGAUCCGCGCUGCAUUAGCUAGUUGGUAGGGUAACGGCUUACCAAGGCAACGAUGCGUAGCCGACGUGAGAGGGUGAUAGGCCACACGGGAACUGAGACACGGUCAAGACGCCUAAGGGAGGCAGCAGUAGGGAAUCGUACGCAAUGGGCGAAAGCAUGACGGAGCAACGCCGCGUGAGUGAUGAAGGUGUUCGGAUCGUAAAACUCGGUUAUUAGGGAAGAACAAAUGUGUAAGUAACUAUGCACGUCGUGACGGUACCUAAUCAGAAAGCCACGGCUAACUACGUG